Molecule: long non-coding RNA, 425 nt
Filed under: Homo sapiens (human)
Lineage: Eukaryota; Metazoa; Chordata; Mammalia; Primates; Hominidae
Description: HSALNT0114756
Source: RNAcentral
CCCAAAUCCAAAAUACGUAUAUCUUGGUGGGGAACUUCAAUUUGUCUCUGCCAUAAGACAAACGAAUGUCCUGAUACUUUUUGAUUCUUUAACAAAAUUAUCCUUGUAUUCUUAGGUUUAUAUAUUCACUAACAUUUAACAUAACACAAAUCUGUUACGUGAAUUAAAGACACACAAAGGCAUUUUUACCAGUGUUUGGAAGUUUGUGAAUAGUAAAGGGGAACAGGCCAAAAUUUCAUGCGUUGAGGAUAUAAGUAAAACAGAAAGUGCAAAAAUGUAAACUACACAAACUCAAUCUCUUGUGGAACAAUUAGAAAACUAAUAAUACAUUUUACUCUUGAAUGUUGAUAUUCCACUCGAAGUUUGGUUGGUUGCUAAGCUUAAGGAUAAACACUAUGAAAAAUGUGAAGACAGAAGGGCUGGCC